Molecule: ribosomal RNA, 467 nt
Filed under: uncultured bacterium
Lineage: Bacteria
Description: partial 16S ribosomal RNA
Rfam family: Bacterial small subunit ribosomal RNA
Source: RNAcentral
GACGAACGCUGGCGGCGUGCUUAACACAUGCAAGUCGAACGGAAAGGCCCUGCUUUUGUGGGGUGCUCGAGUGGCGAACGGGUGAGUAACACGUGAGUAACCUGCCCUUGACUUUGGGAUAACUUCAGGAAACUGGGGCUAAUACCGGAUAGGAGCUCCUGCUGCAUGGUGGGGGUUGGAAAGUUUCGGCGGUUGGGGAUGGACUCGCGGCUUAUCAGCUUGUUGGUGGGGUAGUGGCUUACCAAGGCUUUGACGGGUAGCCGGCCUGAGAGGGUGACCGGCCACAUUGGGACUGAGAUACGGCCCAGACUCCUACGGGAGGCAGCAGUGGGAAUAUUGCACAAUGGGCGGAAGCCUGAUGCAGCAACGCCGCGUGCGGGAUGACGGCCUUCGGGUUGUAAACCGCUUUCGCCUGUGACGAAGCGUGAGUGACGGUAAUGGGUAAAGAAGCACCGGCUAACUACAUG